Molecule: ribosomal RNA, 423 nt
Filed under: uncultured bacterium
Lineage: Bacteria
Description: partial 16S ribosomal RNA
Rfam family: Bacterial small subunit ribosomal RNA
Source: RNAcentral
AAUAUUUGACAAUGGGGGCAACCCUGAUCCAGCCAUGUCGCGUGUGUGAAGAAGGUCUUCGGAUUGUAAAGCUCUUUAAGUUGGGAGGAAGGGCUUUAGGUUAAUACCCUGAAGUUUUGACGUUACUAACAGAAUAAUCACCGGCUUCCUCUGUGCCAGCAGCCGCGGUAAUACAGAGGGUGCAAGCGUUAAUCGGAAUUACUGGGCGUAAAGCGCGCGUAGGUGGUUCAGUAAGAUGGGUGUGAAAACCCCGGGCUUAACCUGGGAACUGCUUUCAUAACUGCUGAGCUAGAGUACGGUAGAGGGUAGUGGAGUAUCCUGUGUAGCGGUGAAAUGCGUAGAUAUAGGAAGGAACACCAGUGGCGAAGACGACUACCUGGACUGAUACUGACACUGAGAUGCGAAAGCGUGGGGAGCAAACAG